Molecule: non-coding RNA, 85 nt
Organism: Xiphophorus maculatus (southern platyfish)
Lineage: Eukaryota; Metazoa; Chordata; Actinopteri; Cyprinodontiformes; Poeciliidae
Source: Rfam
CAGUGCAGUCAUCCAUAAAGUAGAAAGCACUACUAAACUCCUCGCCAAAGUGUAGUGUUUCCUACUUUAUGGAUGAGUGUACUGU